This 484-nucleotide ribosomal RNA is filed under the name uncultured bacterium. Its description in RNAcentral is "partial 16S ribosomal RNA". It matches the Rfam family "Bacterial small subunit ribosomal RNA", at positions 30 to 507 of the family's 1533-position model. The record is from RNAcentral.
AUUGAACGCUGGCGGCAGGCCUAACACAUGCAAGUCGAGCGGAUGAAGGGAGCUUGCUCCUGGAUUCAGCGGCGGACGGGUGAGUAAUGCCUAGGAAUCUGCCUGGUAGUGGGGGAUAACGUCCGGAAACGGGCGCUAAUACCGCAUACGUCCUGAGGGAGAAAGUGGGGGAUCUUCGGACCUCACGCUAUCAGAUGAGCCUAGGUCGGAUUAGCUAGUUGGUGGGGUAAAGGCCUACCAAGGCGACGAUCCGUAACUGGUCUGAGAGGAUGAUCAGUCACACUGGAACUGAGACACGGUCCAGACUCCUACGGGAGGCAGCAGUGGGGAAUAUUAGACAAUGGGCGAAAGCCUGAUCCAGCCAUGCCGCGUGUGUGAAGAAGGUCUUCGGAUUGUAAAGCACUUUAAGUUGGGAGGAAGGGAAGUAAGUUAAUACCUUACUGUUUUGACGUUACCAACAGAAUAAGCACCGGCUAACUUCGUG